RNAcentral lists this transfer RNA (74 nucleotides) under bacterium. Its description in RNAcentral is "tRNA-Asp". It matches the Rfam family "tRNA". From Rfam's summary of the family: Transfer RNA (tRNA) molecules are approximately 80 nucleotides in length. The record is from RNAcentral.
GCGGGCGUAGCUCAACCGGCUAGAGCGCUGCCCUGUCACGGCAGAGGUUGCGGGUUCAAGUCCCGUCGCUCGCG